GAUUUUCUAAUUUUCUCAAAAACGGAUCGACCGAUUUUAAAAAAUCAAACGUCAAAAUAAAAGACUUCGAAAGACCUUUCAAAAAAGCUAGUACUCGAUACCACUUGUCAUAAAAAAAGUUUGAGGGAAUGACUCUAGGGGGCAGUGGGUGAAGUAGUUUUUUGUUAAAAAGUUGUUCCCCUUGACAAACCUUUUGACGUGUCCCGGCGUUUUUUACUUUAACCUGUGGUGGCAAGUUUUCAAAUGAAUACCCUGUAUAAAAUCAAUACCCGGGAAUUGUAACACUAUGUUCUGAUUCAUUCCUCCGAGAUUAACAAACGGCCAAAAAUAAUGCCAAGUUCAAUGGUCUCCUCCACACAACAGUCGCCAAUUUCACUUGCUGCACAUGCAUACAUGGCAGCAUCGAUACAUGGCAGCAUCGACAGAGUCGCUGCAAGGUGCAAAUUUUUUAACACAAGAAAAAUAUGUUUUAGACUUGUACGUCUUAAAAACCUGGAAGCCGACCACUCUAAUUACAAACCUCUUUCAUUGCAGACAUCUUGAGAACCGAAGGUCACAUUAGGUUCAGUUGAUACCGCCCGCGGCAUCUUGGUUAGCGUCGAGUUGUUAGCGGAGGCCCGCACACUGGCGGAAUUUGUUCUUGAAUAAAGGCAUCAUUUGAAUAUGCUAACACUAGAAUAUGCACCAAUGACCAUGCCUCCCCGAUGACAAAUAAUGAAAAGUGCCAAAACAGUGCCAUUAUAUAUUUUGAUAUGCUAUAUUCGGUGGGCGACCCAUGUAUAGAUAUUAAUUUCCCAUAUCUUCCACGUCUGAUACUGAUUUUUAAUGAGUAAAUAAAUGUACCCACUACGACUACCCAAUAGUAUAUCAGCCAAACAAAUAAUUGAACUGGAUAGCUUCCAAGUCCAACGACACAAUGAGAAAAGUUGCUUCGAUGCAAUAUAAAAUACCGGAGCUGUUCCCGACCAUUUGGAAAAUUGAUCAUACCGAUAAGAAAAAAAUGACAGUUGUUUUCGAGGGAAGCGAACGCCUUAAAGAUUUACUACGCGUAUUAUGUUCGAAGCAAUCGCAGGUUCAUUUAAAAGACAUGCAUGAAUUUUGUUGUAAAGACACCCCUCGUCAUGGGAAUAUACAAAUGUGUAUUAUAGAAAGCACGAGAUGAUUAAAAUGCCAAGCACAAAGCGCUCUUAAUUUCUGAACUAGCUGAAGUAACCAGCCCCUAUACAAGAGGG
Molecule: long non-coding RNA, 1232 nt
Organism: Photinus pyralis (common eastern firefly)
Lineage: Eukaryota; Metazoa; Arthropoda; Insecta; Coleoptera; Lampyridae
Exons: 3
Source: RefSeq, a predicted model, not a curated record